This 2939-nucleotide long non-coding RNA is filed under the name Mus musculus (house mouse). RNAcentral describes it as "long non-coding RNA chr3:109451762-109454701". Lineage: Eukaryota; Metazoa; Chordata; Mammalia; Rodentia; Muridae. The record is from RNAcentral.
UGCAGGGCUCAUCCUGUACUGGAGCCUCAUCUCUGCCUCACAGACAUUGCCUUUCCAGGAAUUGGCCAUUUCAGUGAGAAUGAUAGAUUUAGAAAAAGUCUGUAAUGCGAUCGAAAUUGAGAAUUUUAUCCACAUUUUGUUGUUGCUCAUAAAACCUGAAAUCACUCAUAUAAAGCCACAAAAUAGCAAAGGGAAAUCAAUGUCUCUGUAAUUGCCCUAAAUGUUAUAUUUAAAAAGCACUGUAUUGGAUUGAUGGUGAGGUUUUUAACUGGGGGGAGAUUACAUGUCUUUGACAAAGCCUGCUUAGCUGAUGCUGCCUAACACAGACAGAAGAUAGGUUAGAGACAUCUUGUGUGUUAUCUGUUUAUUUCCGGCCACAUCCUGACCUAGCAGGAAUUACUUUUCACAGCCUGUUCCCUUUAGGGCAGCAUCCUGUGGGAGUGAGCGCUUGCUUCCUCUUGACUUCCUGUGUAUUUAAAGCACUCUUACCAAGAGGCAGUGCAAUGUAUGUGCUGGCCUUAUUUUCUCUUGCCAGAAAUUAUUAUUCCUCUCUAUAUAAGUUUAGAAUAAAUAGAAUACUUCCCAUGUCAAUAGGCUAAAGCACAGAUUAAAGGUCAAACGAAAAUUCACUAUUGAAAACAAAACACCGCCCCACCCCCAGUGCUUAUGAAUUAAGGCAGGUUAGAUGGAAACUAUUGAAGGCUGCUUGAUGCUGAAGGAUGGCGAUGGUCAAGUCACGUGUUCAUCGCCUCCCUUCCCCCUCUCUCAUGUCUCUCCCUCAGGAUCUGGAGCCGCAGCCCAUUCCCUGGGGUUGUGCUAUUUUGCACUUUUCCCCUACUGUGCUGGUGCCAACUUGCAUGUUGGAUGCUGACUGAGGCUUUUCCUUGCUGGCCAGCACCUAGACUGCAGGACAGCCAGUAGCUCCUGUCCAAGUCCCAUUUCUAUGUAGGGCAGAGCUGAGGGCUUGCUCACCUUGGGCUGCAGCUCACUCCAUCACCAUGCAGCAAUCCAGAGGAAAUGUCAAUGUGGUGAACUGGAAUAGGUAUUUAUACAUAAGGGAAAAGAACAUAUAUGUUGAGGAUAAGUGUCUUAAAGUGAUUGAUCCUCUGGUUCUGUAAGUUCAAAGGAAGAAAAGAAGUGGUCAAAGUAGAACCUUUUGUCAGGAAGUUCCAUCAUGAAUCCUGGGUUUCCCCCUCCUUCCAGUGUGCUGGUGUUCUCUUUCGUCUUGCUCCAAGAAGAAUCCUUUAUUUGAACCUCCACAGUCAAGACCUCCUCCUUCUGUUAGGCUUAUGUUUCAUCGCAUGAUUGUCUACAAUGCUGCAUUAGCCAACAAUGAGUGUUCACUGUCGGACCUUAUGCCUGGACAGCAAGAUGGGGAUACUUCAUGGAGGAGUUGGUACAAACAACAGGGUAUGAGUCUCACCUUUCUAGGUCUCAUUCCUGGUUGCAGAAAAUAUUAAAAAGAACCAGCACGCUCCUGAGCUUCAUCCUGCUACUCUCUGCCCCAGGGAGUCUGGAAGGCCUGUUCUUAUCUCGUGGAGACUCUCUGGCCCGGAGCUCUGGAAACAUCUCUACCCAGCUCGCUAUGUUCCUACUGGUGGGUCGUUCCUAUGUUCCUAUAGGUCAAAUAUAGUUUGAAAUGUGCAGGGGAGACUAUCUCUAGGUGCAGAAGCAAGGAGAAUGAAAAUCAAAGGACAGAAAACAAAUGAUGGAGAGAGUAAACUUCAUGUGAUGUAUGCUGUUAUGAGACAGGAGGAAAGACCAUUCUGAAUAGACAAUAUUGAAAAUUUACAUUGUAAUACAUAUGUAGGGGUAAAUGACCCCUACUAUGUAAACUUUAAUACUAAACUUAUUAUGUAUGUAAAAUUCUACUCAUCUUUGGUCAUUUACCCUAUCCUUUUGACCUUCUGUUUUCUCUUGUUAUACUAAAGAGGGACAAUUCACUGAAUUUCAUCUGAGGUACUUACUUCCAAGACAGUAGUUUCAAGUUGGUAUUAUAUGGGUAUUUUAGAUUUCUUAUGGAAUUUUGAAUCAUUUUCUUAUAUAUUCACAUUUACAGACUAAAAUAUGGUACUGAAAAAUCCUUACAUUUUAUUUUAAGAGUGUAUGAACCAUGUACUCUAAACCCCAAAUCCUAUCAUUGAUUUAUUAUUUUAAGAAGAUUGUUUUAGAAGUUUUGUGAUUGGACCCUGCAUCCUAUCUUUUCUUGUACUGAGUAAAAAUUAUAGAGGAAAUUAUGAACUACAGCAUUGGAAUAAUAGCAAAUUAGUUUAGAAUCAAUCAAGAUACAAUCUUACAUAUAAAAUAAGCCUUCCUUCCUGUGGAUCACAGUUUGCUUAGACUCCUUAAAGAAAUGAGUUACAAAAUAAGGAGUGGUCUCAUGCUUGAGAGACCCCUAAUUUAAGGAACCCACCUUCUUUGGCAUGAAAAGGUCACUUAAUGUUAAAACUUAAAAGGAACCAAGUUCCACCACUGCUUAAUCCUGAAGCUGUGAGCAUUGGGAAAGCAAGCUUUUCCUUUGGAGGGAGAGUGUGGACCUUUGGUUACGGAGUUGUGCUGCUGUAUCAAGCAGGCUGCUUCUGUGUGUUCUGUCUCUAUUUAGGUUUCUCACAUAAAAUCAGAGCAGCAGGGGUAUGUGAAGUCACAGAUAUCCCAACCCUGAGAUUCUUCUGAACAAAAGAGUUCCAGAAUGAUAUGAAAGACCUCUGUGUGUUCUGAGUAAAGUAGGUUAAAUUUAGUAUCUAUUUUAAUCACUGUACAAUCCUUGACAACAUAAAGAUACCCAGUAUCAAUUCUAAUCACUGUACAACCCUUGACAACAUAAAGAUACUCUUUAAAGCAUCUAUUUAACUUUGAGUAAAACAUGGAAUUGAAGUAGAUGCAGUAAGAGUUGGGAGAUGAUGUAUGACUGACUGCACCUGACAAAUGUCCCCAUUCUG